RNAcentral lists this long non-coding RNA (282 nucleotides) under Ananas comosus (pineapple). RNAcentral describes it as "long non-coding RNA (ACOM_LNC025977)". The record is from RNAcentral. Lineage: Eukaryota; Viridiplantae; Streptophyta; Magnoliopsida; Poales; Bromeliaceae.
AAUGUGAUUUUAGACACGGAUUUCUAUCAUUGGUUUUCUAUCCCUCGCGGUAGUGUUUUCAAAAUAAUGGUUUCCGUGUAGGAAACGUUUUUAAAUAGUUUUCUCGAGAUUUUUUGCAGAAUUAGAGUUUUAAAAAGAAAGUCUUCGUGUGGGAGACAUUUUCAACAUCUAUAAAUGAUCGUGAAAUUGAAGUGGAAUAGUUGUGACUAAGGACGGUUAGCUAUAUGAUGUGAAACUUGUGAAAUAAAAAUCUUUGUGACUCGUGAUUAUUAUUUGUGUGAG